This 602-nucleotide long non-coding RNA is filed under the name Manihot esculenta (cassava). RNAcentral describes it as "long non-coding RNA (MESC_LNC002534)". Lineage: Eukaryota; Viridiplantae; Streptophyta; Magnoliopsida; Malpighiales; Euphorbiaceae. The record is from RNAcentral.
GAGUCAUGUUAGUGUAUGUUUGGUCCCUCAUUUGAGUCCACUUGUGUAGGUUCGGACCCGAGGAACCGAGGACCCCAGCAGUGAGAUAGUCUGUUUAGAGUCAGCCUGAGGUGAGUAGAAUGAAUCUUUAUAUUUCAAAGCAAAUAAAAUUCGAGCAUGUUCAUGCAUCACGAAUGCCAUGAUAUAUAUUAGAUUGUUUGCAUUAGAAUUCAUGAAUAUGAUGCAUUGCAUUAAUUAUUGUUGAUGUGGAUGGAUGUUGGAUGAUCCAUUAGUCUUCGAUAUGAUAUGAGAUGGUAUGGUACGGAAGUCCAGGUCGAGACCCAUUCUACGCCCCAGGCACGAUGUUAAGAGAAAGUCCAGGUCGAGGCCCAUUCUAUGCCCCUGGCACAUUGAAAUGUUAUGUUAUGUUAAGGGAAAGACCAGUGGCCCAUUCUACGCCCUGACACUAUUGGAAUGUGUAGAGGGCUAUUGGUGACAAGUCCAUCCUUGAUGUGAAUUGUUUGUGAUAUGAUGCAUUCCAUGAAAGCAUAUGUUUUUAAUAUACUAUUUUACUAUUCUGCUCACUGGGCUCUAGUAGCUCACCUCUUUCCCUUAACCCCCAG